CGCGGCACAAAAUCUUGCGCUCAAUUCCGUCCACCUCUUUUCGUAUUGAUAAAAUUUUCUUCACGUUUUUUCUCACUAAAAAGCCUCUGAAUAUCUUCUGAAUCCUUAAGGCGAAUACGCACUGGUCCGGCUUAGGUUUCUGAGUCUUCAGCAAUGAAACGGACCGCUCAGGAUCCGAACCUCUUUCUGCAGUCCCUAACACCGGAAUCAACUCCACGAACGGAAUCCAAUUUCAAAAGUAGAGACAUCAGCGUCUCAUUCACCCGCAACCUCUCCCUUUCGUCUCUUCGAAUCAACUCCGCCAUUUCGCCGCACAAAAUCUUGCGCUCAAUUUCGUCCACCUCUUUUCGUAUUGAUAUAAUUUUCUUUACGUUUUUUCUCACUAAAAAGCCUCUGAAUACCUUCUGAAUCCUUGAGGCGAAUACGGACUGGUUCGGCUUAGGUUUCUGAGUCUUCACGGAUGAAACGGACCGCUCAGGAUCCGAACCGACGAAGUGAACCGGAAUCUCAACAACCGGCUUAAUACCGAUAGCAUUUUUAUGUAUCGGGCGGACGGGUAUUCCUCUCAUGUUUGAGGAAUA
RNAcentral lists this long non-coding RNA (581 nucleotides) under Nicotiana benthamiana. Its description in RNAcentral is "long non-coding RNA (NBEN_LNC040302)". The record is from RNAcentral. Lineage: Eukaryota; Viridiplantae; Streptophyta; Magnoliopsida; Solanales; Solanaceae.